This 497-nucleotide ribosomal RNA is filed under the name uncultured bacterium. RNAcentral describes it as "partial 16S ribosomal RNA". It matches the Rfam family "Bacterial small subunit ribosomal RNA", at positions 28 to 507 of the family's 1533-position model. The record is from RNAcentral.
GACGAACGCUGGCGGCGUGCCUAAUACAUGCAAGUAGAACGCUGAAGCGAGGAGCUUGCUCUUCUUGGAUGAGUUGCGAACGGGUGAGUAACGCGUAGGUAACCUGCCUGGUAGCGGGGGAUAACUAUUGGAAACGAUAGCUAAUACCGCAUAAAAUGGAUUAUCGCAUGAUAAUCCAUUGAAAGGUGCAAAUGCAUCACUACCAGAUGGACCUGCGUUGUAUUAGCUAGUUGGUGGGGUAACGGCUCACCAAGGCGACGAUACAUAGCCGACCUGAGAGGGUGAUCGGCCACACUGGGACUGAGACACGGCCCAGACUCCUACGGGAGGCAGCAGUAGGGAAUCUUCGGCAAUGGACGGAAGUCUGACCGAGAAACGCCGCGUGAGUGAAGAAGGUUUUCGGAUCGUAAAGCUCUGUUGUAAGAGAAGAACGAGUGUGAGAGUGGAAAGUUCACACUGUGACGGUAUCUUACCAGAAAGGGACGGCUAACUACGUG